GAUGAAGAACGUAGCGAAAUGCGAUAAGUAAUGUGAAUUGCAGAAUUCAGUGAAUCAUCGAAUCUUUGAACGCACCUUGCGCUCCUUGGUAUUCCGAGGAGCAUGCCUGUUUGAGUGUCAUUAAAUUCUCAACCUCAUCAGUUUUGUUAUGAAGCUGUGUGAGGCUUGGAUGUGGGGGUUUGUGCAGGCUGCCUCAGUGCGGUCUGCUCCCCUGAAAUGUAUUAGCGAGUUCCAACUGGGCUCCGUCUAUUGGUGUGAUAAUUAUCUACGCCGUGGAUUGGGCUUAGACUUGCUUCUAACCGUCCGCAAGGACAAUCUUUUGACAAUUUGACCUCAAAUCAGGUAGGACUACCCGCUGAACUUAAGCAUAUCAAUAAGCGGAGGA
Molecule: unclassified non-coding RNA, 385 nt
Filed under: soil metagenome
Description: partial contains 5.8S ribosomal RNA, internal transcribed spacer 2, and large subunit ribosomal RNA
Rfam family: 5.8S ribosomal RNA (bases 1-120)
Source: RNAcentral